CAGUUCUUUCGAGGCAUUAUCAUUACUUUACAACCUUUCAGUAUUUAAAGAUAGUUAAUGUUUCCAGUACUUCAAUAAAGGUUUCACAUACUAGAGUAACAGUUAGACAGAGUCUCAUACUUUUCAUCUUAAGCCAUGUUGGCCGCAAAUAUGUUUCAUAAUUGUAUUAGUAAUUUAGCACUUUGAUUUAUAUCAUCCAUACUUUCGGUAUAUCAGCAUGUGUUAGUUUAUCUUCCGUAUUCAGUAUGUUAUAAUAUCACAUGUUAAUUCAGCCAGCUAGUUGGUUUGCUCGGUCACUUGUAGUCAGACACCGAGUGUCGUGUUACGUCCAGGCCCAGGUUUGGGGCGUGAUGACUUCAUUGGAUAUUAUACUGAUAAAGGAAAACUGAAACAAAAGUCAGUAACAAUGAAAAAAGGAUUCAAUUAACCCAAUGCUAAAACACCCAAACAAAAUUUCUUUCAAAAUAAGAUGGUCAUAUAAACUAACAGCGGGGUUCUAAUUGAGAUAACAAAUCAAGUUCACUCAUACCAUGUUCAAAUACUUCAUUGCUCUUCAAACACAAAUUCAAGUUAAGUUGGGAUAUACAUUCAGUACAUGUUAUUCAAGCGAGCAUUGGCAUAAUGAAAAAUAUCAUGGAUAUUAAACACAAACACACAAAAAGAAACUAAUUAACACAUGAUGAAAUAACCGAAAUCUUAGAUUGAUGUUUACUGAUUUGGCCAAUAAUUACUGAGUGAAGAACAAUACCUAAACGCUAGAACAAAUCAGCCAAAUAACCUAAUAGUGUUCUGAAAUUAGAAGGUGAAGGUUCAGCAGCAAGAACCAACAAUCGAAAAAACCCAAGAAUUUUUUCAAACUUCUAAAAACCAAGGAAAACACUUGAGGACUAAAGAAAGCUCAAAAAAGUUCUGAAGAACACCUUUUAGAAAGAAAAAAACUUUUGAAUUUUUGUCGUGUAUAUAUCUUUCCUUGUUCUCUUUGAUUUUUGGAGAUAUUUUAGCAGCUAUGGAAACCUCAAACUUGUGAUUGAAAUAUAACAGCCACCCUCCCUUUUCUUCUCUCUUUUUUCCUUACCCUAAAGAGGAGUGAAAUGAGCCUUUUAUAGCAGAGAAUUAGGGCAACCAACCUAAUUUUCCUAAUUCAAAUGUACCCUUUGAGUUUUCAUUUUAAUUCACUUCAACCCCUACCCACGGAACUUCCCCCUCUUUUUUUCUUCCUAAAAUGAUCUUUGUCAGUCCCUAUCUAGAAGCUUCCCAUUUGUUAGGAUAAGACUCUCUCAAUCCCUAUCCAAAUUGAACCCUUAGUACACUUGUAAUUAUCCCCUAUUUUACUACUUUGACAUUUAGCCUAAGUGAUAUUGGGCCUCUGGACUACUUAUACCACAAGCCCAAUAAUUACUUGGGGUUUUGCACUAAUAAACCCAAAUCUGAACCCACCCUAUAAGCCAAAAAUAGUUUUGCGAAAAUUUAAGCAAAUGAAAUUCUGGCUAAACGGGAAAAUAAAUAAACGAUGCAUUAAAAAAAGACUAUACACUAACAAAUGAAAUUAAAUAUAAUUAUUAAGCUAUUACCACUGAUGAAUCAAUCAUGAACCAAACAAAAAUAACUUUUAGACAAAAUUGUCAUCAUAGGAGGGGUUAAGAAAAAUGGAGAGGUAUACCGAUUGAAUCGCCAAAAGCUUCAAUAUCUCAGGGAAAAGCAGUAACGGAUCGAUUCGAACUCCGGCGAACAAGAAUCUCGGCCAAUGGUGGGAAUUGUAACAUAAACGCUAGUCAAAAUUUCUUCCACAACUCGUGCUUCAUAUCACAAUCCUCAACACAUGCCAAGAAAUAGAGGAGGCAGAGACUCAAGGAGAUUCGGACACUCAAAGGUUAAAUGCUUGGAAUCCGGCCAACUAGAAAAAGGGUUAUCCUUACAAGCAGUCGAUUCUUCAUGUUGAAAAUAGGGGGUUCAAGUGGGUUUCAUCAUGAAUUGAGGGCCAGGUCAAGAAGAAUCAAACAAGAAGUAAAAAGUUAGGAUUUUUAUUCUUAGAUCUCUAAUUCGGAGAAAAUGAGUAUUCUUUUGGAGGAAUGAAUGGCGGAUAUGAACGAGGGGGUGAUGGAUGUUGUGUGGUUGAAGUUUGAGGGGAUUUGGAGGUGGUCCGCCGCUGCGAGACGAUUCCCGGGCGGCGGAGGAACGACGGAAGGGGGCGGUGGUAUUGAGAGAGAUAGCGAUUUAGGUCUGGACAUGGCUUAAUUGAAUUUUUGGGGUGGGUUAAUAAAACAGAGACUAAGGUUUGGUUGUUUAAAU
RNAcentral lists this long non-coding RNA (2289 nucleotides) under Nicotiana benthamiana. Its description in RNAcentral is "long non-coding RNA (NBEN_LNC013727)". The record is from RNAcentral. Lineage: Eukaryota; Viridiplantae; Streptophyta; Magnoliopsida; Solanales; Solanaceae.